GAUGAACGCUGGCGGCGUGCCUAAUACAUGCAAGUCGAGCGAACAGACGAGGAGCUUGCUCCUCUGACGUUAGCGGCGGACGGGUGAGUAACACGUGGAUAACCUACCUAUAAGACUGGGAUAACUUCGGGAAACCGGAGCUAAUACCGGAUAAUAUAUUGAACCGCAUGGUUCAAUAGUGAAAGACGGGUUUGCUGUCACUUAUAGAUGGAUCCGCGCCGCAUUAGCUAGUUGGUAAGGUAACGGCUUACCAAGGCAACGAUGCGUAGCCGACCUGAGAGGGUGAUCGGCCCCACUGGAGCUGGACCACGGUCCAGACUCCUACGGGCGGCAGCAGUAGGUACUCUUCCGCAAUGGGCGAAAGCCUGCCGGAGCAACGCCGCGUGAGUGAUGAAGGUCUUCGGAUCGUAAAACUCUCUUAUUAGGGAAGACCAAAUGUGUAAGUAACUAUGCACGUCUUGACGGUACCUAAUCAGAAAGCCACGGCUAACUACGUG
This 497-nucleotide ribosomal RNA is filed under the name uncultured bacterium. Its description in RNAcentral is "partial 16S ribosomal RNA". It matches the Rfam family "Bacterial small subunit ribosomal RNA", at positions 28 to 507 of the family's 1533-position model. The record is from RNAcentral.